GGGGAACUCAGGGAACUGAAACAUCUAAGUACCUGAAGGAAGAGAAAGAAAUUCGAUUCCGUAAGUAGCGGCGAGCGAACGCGGAUUAGCCCAAACCAAUAAAGUUUUCUUUAUUGGGGUUGCGGACAUAUCAUAACGAAGAGGGAUCGUAAUUGAAGAGGUUUGGAAAGACCCACCACAGAAGGUAAUAGUCCUGUAUGUUAAACGAGAAGACUUUAGAUAUGAUCCAGAGUA
This 234-nucleotide ribosomal RNA is filed under the name Clostridioides difficile. RNAcentral describes it as "partial 23S ribosomal RNA". It matches the Rfam family "Bacterial large subunit ribosomal RNA", at positions 178 to 414 of the family's 2925-position model. Lineage: Bacteria; Bacillati; Bacillota; Clostridia; Peptostreptococcales; Peptostreptococcaceae. The record is from RNAcentral.